AUUGAACGCUGGCGGCAGGCCUAACACAUGCAAGUCGAACGGUAACAGGAAGAAGCUUGCUUCUUUGCUGACGAGUGGCGGACGGGUGAGUAAUGUCUGGGAAACUGCCUGAUGGAGGGGGAUAACUACUGGAAACGGUAGCUAAUACCGCAUAACGUCGCAAGACCAAAGAGGGGGACCUUCGGGCCUCUUGCCAUCGCAUGUGCCCAGAGGGGAUUAGGUAGAAGGUGGGGUAACGGCUCACCUAGGCGACGAUCCGUACCUGGUCUGAGAGGAUGACGAGUCCCACGCGAACUGAAACACGGUCCAGACUCCUACGGGAGGCAGCAGUGGGGAAGAUUGCACAAUGGGCUCAAGCCUGAUUCAGCCAUGCCGCGUGUAUGAAGAAGGCCUUCGGAUUGUAAAGUACUUUCAGCGGGGAGGAAGGGAGUAAAGUUAAUACCUUUGCUCAUUGACGUUACCCGCAGAAGAAGCACCGGCUAACUCCGGG
This 490-nucleotide ribosomal RNA is filed under the name uncultured bacterium. RNAcentral describes it as "partial 16S ribosomal RNA". It matches the Rfam family "Bacterial small subunit ribosomal RNA", at positions 30 to 507 of the family's 1533-position model. The record is from RNAcentral.